GGAGGGAGGCCUUGGACUGC
RNAcentral lists this non-coding RNA (20 nucleotides) under Arabidopsis thaliana (thale cress). The record is from RNAcentral. Lineage: Eukaryota; Viridiplantae; Streptophyta; Magnoliopsida; Brassicales; Brassicaceae.